GUGGUUGUAGCUUAGUGGUAGAGUGCUUUCCUAGCACGUGUGAGGCAAUGGGUUCAAUCCUCAGCACCACA
RNAcentral lists this transfer RNA (71 nucleotides) under Marmota monax (woodchuck). RNAcentral describes it as "tRNA.Ala". Lineage: Eukaryota; Metazoa; Chordata; Mammalia; Rodentia; Sciuridae. The record is from RNAcentral.